UAAUACGUAGGUGGCAAGCGUUACUCGGAAUCACUAGGCGUAAAGCGCAGGUAGGCGGUUCGGUAAGUCUGUUGUGAAAGCUCCCGGCUCAACUGGGAGAGGUCAACGGAAACUGCCGGGCUUGAGUGUGGUAGAGGUAGCUGGAAUUCCCGGUGUAGCGGUGAAAUGCGUAGAUAUCGGGAGGAAUACCUAUGGCGAAAGCAGGCUACUGGACCAUCACUGACGCUGAUCUGCGAAAGCUAGGGGAGCAAACAGGAUUAGAUACCCUGGUAGUCCUAGCCCUAAACGAUGCUCAUUAGGUGUGGUAGGUAUCGACCCCUUCCGCGCCGAAGCUAACGCAUUAAAUGAGCCGCCUGGGGAGUACGGCCGCAAGGUUG
This 377-nucleotide ribosomal RNA is filed under the name uncultured bacterium. Its description in RNAcentral is "bacterial SSU rRNA". It matches the Rfam family "Bacterial small subunit ribosomal RNA", at positions 521 to 896 of the family's 1533-position model. The record is from RNAcentral.